AGGACGAACGCUGGCGGCGUGCUUAACACAUGCAAGUCGAGCGGAAAGGCCCUUCGGGGUACUCGAGCGGCGAACGGGUGAGUAACACGUGAGCAAUCUGCCCUUAGCUUCGGGAUAGCUCCGGGAAACCGGAAUUAAUACCGAAUACGACCCCGGCCGACAUCGGCUGUGGUGGAAAGUUUUUCGGCUAGGGAUGAGCUCGCGGCCUAUCAGCUUGUUGGUGGGGUAACGGCCUACCAAGGCGACGACGGGUAGCCGGCCUGAGAGGGCGACCGGCCACACUGGGACUGAGACACGGCCCAGACUCCUACGGGAGGCAGCAGUGGGGAAUAUUGCGCAAUGGGCGAAAGCCUGACGCAGCGACGCCGCGUGGGGGAUGAAGGCCUUCGGGUUGUAAACCCCUUUCAGCAGGGACGAAGCGAAGUGACGGUACCUGCAGAAGAAGCGCCGGCUAACUACGUGCCAGCAGCCGC
Molecule: ribosomal RNA, 473 nt
Filed under: uncultured bacterium
Lineage: Bacteria
Description: SSU rRNA
Rfam family: Bacterial small subunit ribosomal RNA
Source: RNAcentral